AAGAGAGCCGGGAGCUCCAGAGGUCUGGCUGCUUCGUUCCGCCUCCCUUUACACCCACUCGGCUAACGGCGAGUCUAACUGACUGAACUGGAGUGGGGACUCUGGGAGUAGAAAUACCCCGAGGGCUUCCUUGCGGAGGUGCAGAAACUGCUUGAUGACUAGAAAACGGAAACUCACUGAGAUUAAGAAAUCUGUGAUUGCAACCAGACAGCUAGAAAGUGCUGGAACUGGGAUCUGAAGUACAUUUGCAAGUGACAAGGAAUCAAAAUGGCGUCCUGGAAAGAAGGAAAAGAGCCAUGAGCUGACAGGCUGUUCGCCAUCAGUUUUUCCAUUUCCCAGCUGUGCUGCCCUGGGCAUAUUGCUAACCUAACAGAGGUUUUUUUUUUUCUCUGCAAAAUGGCAAUAACUACUUCCUAUGUUGAAUCAACUAAGAUAUAAAACUCCAGAAAAACAUAUACUUCUGCUUUAUUGACUAUGCUAAUACCUUUGUGUGGAUCACAACAAACUGUGGAAAAUUCUUAAAGACAUGGGAAUACCAGACCUCCUGA
Cervus elaphus (red deer) is the source of this 548-nucleotide long non-coding RNA. RefSeq lists it as uncharacterized. The record is from RefSeq and is a predicted model, not a curated record. Lineage: Eukaryota; Metazoa; Chordata; Mammalia; Artiodactyla; Cervidae. The transcript has 3 exons.